RNAcentral lists this ribosomal RNA (443 nucleotides) under uncultured bacterium. Its description in RNAcentral is "partial 16S ribosomal RNA". It matches the Rfam family "Bacterial small subunit ribosomal RNA", at positions 338 to 795 of the family's 1533-position model. The record is from RNAcentral.
CCUACGGGAGGCAGCAGUGGGGAAUAUUGGGCAAUGGGCGCAAGCCUGACCCAGCAACGCCGCGUGAAGGAAGAAGGCUUUCGGGUUGUAAACUUCUUUUCUCAGGGACGAAGAAAGUGACGGUACCUGAGGAAUAAGCCACGGCUAACUACGUGCCAGCAGCAGCGGUAAGACGUAGGUGGCAAGCGUUAUCCGGAUUUACUGGGUGUAAAGGGCGUGUAGGCGGGAAAGCAAGUCAGAUGUUAAAACCAUGGGCUCAACCUGUGGCCUGCAUUUGAAACUGUUUUUCUUGAGUACUGGAGAGGCAGACGGAAUUCCUAGUGUAGCGGUGAAAUGCGUAGAUAUUAGGAGGAACACCAGUGGCGAAGGCGGUCUGCUGGACAGCAACUGACGCUGAGGCGCGAAAGCGUGGGGAGCAAACAGGAUUAGAUACCCGUGUAGUC